AACGGGGGGGGCUAGUGCUAUGCAACCUAACUGGGUGUUAAGGGCGCGCAGGCGGAUUAUUAUGUUUUUUAUAAAAGUCUCGGUCUCAAACUGAGAAAUUGUUUUUAUACUAAUGAUCUUUGAGUUUAGAAGAGUAAAAUGGUACGGAUAAUGGACGGGUGGAAUAGGCAAAAAUAUUUCGGACCACCUUUGGUGAAGACGGUUUUAUAGUUCUGUUUUAAACUGACGCUGAUGCGCAAAGGGUAGGGGAGCAAACGGG
This 259-nucleotide ribosomal RNA is filed under the name uncultured bacterium. Its description in RNAcentral is "partial 16S ribosomal RNA". It matches the Rfam family "Bacterial small subunit ribosomal RNA", at positions 524 to 776 of the family's 1533-position model. The record is from RNAcentral.